Panicum hallii is the source of this 2082-nucleotide long non-coding RNA. RefSeq lists it as uncharacterized. The transcript has 3 exons. Lineage: Eukaryota; Viridiplantae; Streptophyta; Magnoliopsida; Poales; Poaceae. The record is from RefSeq and is a predicted model, not a curated record.
UCGCAGAGCACGCCUCUCAAGUAUCAUUUGCUUUGCUGGUAAGACCCUUGUAAGAGCUUGGUAAGAUGUUUUUCUAUUGCAGUGUUGAUUGAGAGGCACCACUGUCCCUGCGUAGUAUAUUAUUAGGGAUAACCUUCACUGUUUGUUCCUGUUCUUGUGUCUAUAAUAGCAGGUGAUGAUGGAAGUGGCACCCCCAAAGACUUCCACGAGUGUGUGAGCUAAGGUCAACUACAUGUGGCCAUCGAACAGGGGCAGCAGGUGGUUGUGUUGGAAACUCGUCCCCCACCCAAUGAAGAUGAGGACGUGGUCUAUGAUGUCCAUGGUAACACAGAUGAAGCAGCCACCAGAGACGCGCGACUUCGACGUCUUCUAUGCACCAACACCAUAGGUAUGGGUGGUAAUCGUAACCACGCUCCCGGUGACCCAUAUGCUAAGGUUAAAUUCAAUAUACCUUCAUUUUCUGGACAUUAUGAUGCUGAGGGAUAUCUUGAUUGGGAGAUGAUUGUCGAGUAGAAAUUUAGUGCCCAUUUUGUACCUGAACAAUAUAGAGUUUGACAAGCCACUAGUGAAUUUAAGGAUUUUGCUAUGAUUUGGUGGACCGGUUUGACUUCAGCGGGGCUUGCACCUACUACAUAGGCAAAACUUAAGGUUGCUAUGCGUGAUAGAUUUAUUCCCCCUUCUUAUCACGGAGAUCUGCGUAAGAGCUUGAUGCGCUUAGAACAGGGAGAUAAGUCUGUACAGGACUAUUAUGGUGAGCUUCAAAAGGGUUUGAUGUGUUGCGGCAUAGUAGAGGGAACUAAGGAUUCUAUUUGUCAUUUUUACUCAGAUUUGCGGCGCGAUAUUCAGGACAUAGUGGAUUAUAAGGAGUUUAACACCGUCAACCAGUUGUUUUAGUUGGCUAUGUUUGCAGAAAAUGAGUUGCAGGGACGUGACUUGCAGGGCACGAGCAAGGUUGGCACCACAUACGCUCCACGUUUGAUGCCAUCGUCCGGGCUGACCAGACCCUCCUCCUUUCGGGCGCCUCCUAAAACAAGCAAGCGACUAGCAGAUGCCGGAGUUGCUGCACCGCCUAAACCUUCGGAUUCAGAAGGAUUGCCCAAGUCAGCGAGCAUACAUUGCUACAGACGAUGGGUACAUCAGCACCUCCGACAUGGAAGAUGAUGCAGCAGAAGAUGCUACUGCGAAGGAUGGCAAUGUCCUUGGUAGCAAGGACACGGUGGCUUUUAGGAGCAUCAUCGUGCACCGAGUACUCAGCACGCAGUUACAACAACUAGUGAAGCUUCAACGCCAUAAUUUAUUCCAGACUUUCUUCGUCAUCAACAAUUGACGAGCACGUGUCAUCAUUGAUGGAGGUAGCUACAAUAAUUUGGUGAGUUCAGAUUUGGUCAAGAAGCUAGGCUUGACCACACGCCCCACCCCCAUCCAUACCAUCUUAUGUGGUUUAAUGAUGCUGGAAAAGCUAAGGUAAUACAUACUUGCAGAGUUUCAUUUUUUAUUGGUCCCUAUGCUAGUUCUGUUAAUUGUGAUGUGGUACCUAUGGAAGCUUGUUCAAUUUUAUUUGAUCGUCCUUGGAAAUUUGAUAAUGAUGCUACACACCAUGGUCGAAGUAAUACAUACACUUUUAUGCAUAAAGGAAAGAAAAUUACUUUGUUACUUUUGACCCCUCCUGAAAUUGUACAAGCCGAUAAAGAACGAGCUGCUAGUUUGAAUGAUACUAAUUCUGAAAAUCAGCAAGUUGCUAAGUCUCUUUAUCCACCUAAAAAGGACAAAGAAAUUAAAUUGAAGGGUGGUGUCAUGCUUGCCAGAAAAUGUGACCUUGCUGAAAUUUCUGAUAAUGAUAUUUGCUAUGCUUUGGUGUGCACGCAGACCUUAUUUUCACUUAAUAAUAGUGCGAGCUCGAUACCUCCUGUUGCUACUAACCUUUUGCAGGAGUAUGAGGAUAUUUUUCCAUCUGAGAUACCACCGGGACUACCACCUAUGAGAGGGAUUGAGCAUCAAAAUUAUUUGAUUCCGGGUGCAACUUUGCCAAACCGUAUUGCUUAUAGAACCAACCCCGAGGAGACUAAGGAAAUUCAGCGACAA